AUGAACGCUGGCGGCGUGCUUAACACAUGCAAGUCGAACGAUGAAGCCCAGCUUGCUGGGUGGAUUAGUGGCGAACGGGUGAGUAACACGUGAGUAACCUGCCCUUAACUCUGGGAUAAGCCUGGGAAACUGGGUCUAAUACCGGAUAGGAGCGCCUACCGCAUGGUGGGUGUUGGAAAGAUUUAUCGGUUUUGGAUGGACUCGCGGCCUAUCAGCUUGUUGGUGAGGUAAUGGCUCACCAAGGCGACGACGGGUAGCCGGCCUGAGAGGGUGACCGGCCACACUGGGACUGAGACACGGCCCAGACUCCUACGGGAGGCAGCAGUGGGGAAUAUUGCACAAUGGGCGCAAGCCUGAUGCAGCGACGCCGCGUGAGGGAUGACGGCCUUCGGGUUGUAAACCUCUUUCAGUAGGGAAGAAGCGAAAGUGACGGUACCUGCAGAAGAAGCACCGGCUAACUACGUGCCAGCAGCCGCGGUAAUACGUAGGGUGCGAGCGUUAUCCGGAAUUAUUGGGCGUAAAGAGCUCGUAGGCGGUUUGUCGCGUCUGUCGUGAAAGUCCGGGGCUUAACCCCGGAUCUGCGGUGGGUACGGGCAGACUAGAGUGCAGUAGGGGAGACUGGAAUUCCUGGUGUAGCGGUGGAAUGCGCAGAUAUCAGGAGGAACACCGAUGGCGAAGGCAGGUCUCUGGGCUGUAACUGACGCUGAGGAGCGAAAGCAUGGGGAGCGAACAGGAUUAGAUACCCUGGUAGUCCAUGCCGUAAACGUUGGGCACUAGGUGUGGGGACCAUUCCACGGUUUCCGCGCCGCAGCUAACGCAGUAAGUGCCCGCCUGGGGAGUACGGCCGCAAGGCUAAAACUCAAAGGAAUUGACGGGGGCCCGCACAAGCGGCGGAGCAUGCGGAUUAAUUCGAUGCAACGCGAAGAACCUUACCAAGGCUUGACAUGUUCUCGAUCGCCGUAGAGAUACGGUUUCCCCUUUGGGGCGGGUUCACAGGUGGUGCAUGGUUGUCGUCAGCUCGUGUCGUGAGAUGUUGGGUUAAGUCCCGCAACGAGCGCAACCCUCGUUCCAUGUUGCCAGCACGUAAUGGUGGGGACUCAUGGGAGACUGCCGGGGUCAACUCGGAGGAAGGUGAGGACGACGUCAAAUCAUCAUGCCCCUUAUGUCUUGGGCUUCACGCAUGCUACAAUGGCCGGUACAAUGGGUUGCGAUACUGUGAGGUGGAGCUAAUCCCAAAAAGCCGGUCUCAGUUCGGAUUGGGGUCUGCAACUCGACCCCAUGAAGUCGGAGUCGCUAGUAAUCGCAGAUCAGCAACGCUGCGGUGAAUACGUUCCCGGGCC
RNAcentral lists this ribosomal RNA (1340 nucleotides) under actinobacterium R16-5. RNAcentral describes it as "bacterial SSU rRNA". It matches the Rfam family "Bacterial small subunit ribosomal RNA", at positions 29 to 1380 of the family's 1533-position model. Lineage: Bacteria; Bacillati; Actinomycetota; Actinomycetes. The record is from RNAcentral.